AGUGAACGCUGGCGGUAGGCCUAACACAUGCCAGUCGAACGGCAGCACAGUAAGAGCUUGCUCUUACGGGUGGCGAGUGGCGGACGGGUGAGGAAUACAUCGGAAUCUACUUUUUCGUGGGGGAUAACGUAGGGAAACUUACGCUAAUACCGCAUACGACCUACGGGUGAAAGCAGGGGAUCUUCGGACCUUGCGCGAUUGAAUGAGCCGAUGUCGGAUUAGCUAGUUGGCGGGGUAAAGGCCCACCAAGGCGACGAUCCGUAGCUGGUCUGAGAGGAUGAUCAGCCACACUGGAACUGAGACACGGUCCAGACUCCUACGGGAGGCAGCAGUGGGGAAUAUUGGACAAUGGGCGCAAGCCUGAUCCAGCCAUACCGCGUGGGUGAAGAAGGCCUUCGGGUUGUAAAGCCCUUUUGUUGGGAAAGAAAAGCAGCAGGUUAAUACCCCGCUGUUCUGACGGUACCUAAAGAAUAAGCACCGGCUAACUUCGUG
RNAcentral lists this ribosomal RNA (492 nucleotides) under uncultured bacterium. RNAcentral describes it as "partial 16S ribosomal RNA". It matches the Rfam family "Bacterial small subunit ribosomal RNA", at positions 29 to 507 of the family's 1533-position model. The record is from RNAcentral.